This is a long non-coding RNA of Quercus lobata, 1126 nucleotides long. RefSeq lists it as uncharacterized. The record is from RefSeq and is a predicted model, not a curated record. The transcript is spliced from 2 exons. NCBI's taxonomy places the organism in Eukaryota, Viridiplantae, Streptophyta, Magnoliopsida, Fagales, Fagaceae.
UUAUUCACACAACAACCUAUUAAGGUAAAAAUUAUUUAAAACUCAUAUGAUUUCUCACAUAAAUCACAAAAAACAAAUUAAGAGGAAUUCUGCCGAAUAAUGAACAAUAGAUAUUAGUCUAUGAUUUUUUUUUUUUUGAGAACAAGAUUAGCCUAUAAGAGUUUGUAAGAUUCUAGAGUCCUAGUAGUAGUAGGGGUCGUAAUAUACCAGAGUCUGUCUUUUGCUAGAGUUAGGGGGUGUGCAAGGGAGCCGAGAAACCGCUACAACCGACCGGAGCCGAGAAACCGCACCGCACCUGAAGCCAACCGCAGGAGCCGAGGCUGGCAAGCGGAGACUAGUAGUCUUUCCAACGCCGAUGCGGUGAUGCAAUCGGAAAUCAAUUCCGAUUACCGAUAUUUGUACCGAACCGAUAUGUUAAUGCUCCAGUAAAAAUAGAUUGUUUUGUGCUAGAGCUCUGUUUGGAUCCUUUAGAUUUGGAUUUGGAUUUGAGGGGGCCCAAAUCCAAAUCCUUUGUUUAGGUAAGUUAAAAGAAAUGGAUUUGGAUUUGGUCCCAAAUCUAGGCUCAAAUCCAUGGAUUUCAAAUACCCUCAUACACGGUGGAAUUUGAAAUCCUCUCACGCAAAGCUCGCGUCUUCUCUACCUUAAGCUGCGACAACAACGUUGAAGCUGCAAUCACCAUGGUGUUCAGAACGUAAAAAAGAAGCUGAAUCAGCUUGUUUGGUUAUGCAAGCGAAGCUGGAAUUAGAAGAGUCUACACAGCGGAAGAACUUGAUACAGUCUGAGAUUGAUGGACUUCUUAUAAAGAUCAAACAGUCCGACCAAGACCGUUUGAAGUCCGAAGAAGAAAUUAAGCAACUUCAAGAACAGGCUAAGCAACAUCUAGAAGAGGCUAGCAGGGGUAUGGAGGAGCUUGAGAGAUACAGGAAAUGCCUUUUAGAAGCCUUUGAAAACUUUAAAUUUGAAAAUUUGGCCUAAUCUCUUUUUCUCUUUAAUUUAUUUAACUACUUAUUUCACCUUCUUUUCUUACUGUUCAAAGUAAAAUUUUUGCUAUUACUAUGUCUUUUAUGUAAUUUUUAACUUCAUUUGUGUUUUUGACUUGUGUGUUAACACACUGAGUAUUGAAUAA